AUAAAAAGUUUAAUAUAUCAAAAAAAAAUAACAUCAUUAUAUAAUAUAUAGAGUUUAAAACAUCUCAAAAAAAAAUUCGUCAUAUUUUGUGAUUCGAAAUUUUAAGAAUGAACAUAUAUUAACUAAUUGGCGAAAAAUGUGUGGGUUUAACGUCCCGCAACGAAUAAAAUAUUUUGACAAUGAUUCAUAAACAUAUUAUAAAUAAGAUCAACAUUAAUAAAAUAAAUAAAUUUUUUUUGUGGAUGGAUUUGGCGGGACGGGUUUGGCAGGACGUUACUUAGUAACAAUUGUAAACUAUAAAAUAAUUUACAAAUUAUAUAUAUAUUAAUUUAAAAAAAUGAAUUGUCUACGCGGUGUACCGCGGGUUAAAAUCUAGUAGUAUAUACAUUCGUAACAAU
This 398-nucleotide small RNA is filed under the name Arabidopsis thaliana (thale cress). Its description in RNAcentral is "ATSL308390". The record is from RNAcentral. Lineage: Eukaryota; Viridiplantae; Streptophyta; Magnoliopsida; Brassicales; Brassicaceae.